RNAcentral lists this ribosomal RNA (707 nucleotides) under uncultured bacterium. RNAcentral's name for it is "bacterial SSU rRNA". It matches the Rfam family "Bacterial small subunit ribosomal RNA", at positions 51 to 747 of the family's 1533-position model. The record is from RNAcentral.
ACACAUGCAAGUCGAGGGGCAGCGGGAUUGAAGCUUGCUUCAAUUGCCGGCGACCGGCGCACGGGUGAGUAACGCGUAUCCAACCUUCCGUACACUCAGGGAUAGCCUUUCGAAAGAAAGAUUAAUACCUGAUGGUAUGAUGAGAUUGCAUGAUAGCAUCAUUAAAGAUUUAUCGGUGUACGAUGGGGAUGCGUUCCAUUAGGUAGUAGGCGGGGUAACGGCCCACCUAGCCUACGAUGGAUAGGGGUUCUGAGAGGAAGGUCCCCCACAUUGGAACUGAGACACGGUCCAAACUCCUACGGGAGGCAGCAGUGAGGAAUAUUGGUCAAUGGACGAGAGUCUGAACCAGCCAAGUAGCGUGAAGGAUGAAGGUCCUACGGAUUGUAAACUUCUUUUAUAAGGGAAUAAACCCUCCCACGUGUGGGAGCUUGUAUGUGCCUUAUGAAUAAGCAUCGGCUAACUCCGUGCCAGCAGCCGCGGUAAUACGGAGGAUGCGAGCGUUAUCCGGAUUUAUUGGGUUUAAAGGGAGCGCAGACGGGUCGUUAAGUCAGCUGUGAAAGUUUGGGGCUCAACCUUAAAAUUGCAGUUGAUACUGGCGUCCUUGAGUGCGGUUGAGGUGUGCGGAAUUCGUGGUGUAGCGGUGAAAUGCUUAGAUAUCACGAAGAACUCCGAUUGCGAAGGCAGCACACUAAUCCGUAACUGACGUU